UGAAUACGAGAUGCUACGGCGUCGAAGCAGUGUAUGUCAGACUUCCAAGAAAAGCUCGCAAUGUCAUAAAUAAAGAAUGCCUGUACCAUAACCGACACAGGUGGGUAGGUAGAGUAUACUAAGGGGCGCGAGAUAACUCUCUCUAAGGAACUCGGCAAAAUAACUCCGUAACUUCGGGAGAAGGAGUGCCUUCUUUAAGAAGGUUGCAAUAACAAGAUCCAAGCAACUGUUUAUCAAAAACACAGGUCUCCGCUAAGUCGUAAGACGAUGUAUGGGGGCUGACGCCUGCCCAGUGCCAGAAGGUUAAAGAAGCUGGUUAGCAAUAGCGAAGCUGGUGACUGAAGCCCUGGUGAACGGCGGCCGUAACGAUAACGGUCCUAAGGUAGCGAAAUUCCUUGUCGGGUAAGUUCCGACCCGCACGAAAGGCGUAAUGAUUUGGAUACUGUCUCGGAGAGGGACUCGGUGAAAUAGACUUGUCUGUGAAGAUGCGGACUACCUGCACCAGGACAGAAAGACCCUAUGAAGCUUUACUGUAACCUGAAAUUGAAAUUGGACUUUAUUUGCGCAGUAUAGGUGGGAGGCGUUGAAAGUAAUCUUGCGGGAUUAGUGGAGCCAUCAGUGAGAUACCACUCCUAUAAUGUUAGAUUUCUAACUUUGGAUCAUGAUCUGGUCAAAGAACAGUUUCAGGCGGGCAGUUUGACUGGGGCGGUCGCCUCCCAAAUGGUAACGGAGGCGUACAAAGGUUUCCUCUGAACGGGUAGAAAUCGUAUCUAGAGUGUAAAGGCAUAAGGAAGCUUGACUGUGAGACCUACAAGUCGAGCAGGGACGAAAGUCGGUCUUAGUGAUCUGACGGUGCUGAGUGGAAAGGCCGUCACUCAACGGACAAAAGUUACUCUAGGAUAACAGGCUGAUCUCCCCCAAGAGUUCACAUCGACGGGGAGGUUUGGCACCUCGAUGUCGGCUCAUCGCAUCCUGGGGCGGUAGUACGUCCCAAGGGUUGGGCUGUUCGCCCAUGAAAGCGGUACGCGAGCUGGGUUCAGAACGUCGUGAGACAGUUCGGUCCAUAUCCGGUGUAGGCGUUAGAAUAUUGAGAGGAGCCUUCUCUAGUACGAGAGGACCGAGAAGGACAUACCUCUGGUGUACCAGUUAUCGUGCCAACGGUAAACGCUGGGUAGCUAUGUAUGGAGAGGAUAACCGCUGAAAGCAUCUAAGUGGGAAGCCCACCUCAAGAUGAGUAUUCUCAU
RNAcentral lists this ribosomal RNA (1244 nucleotides) under metagenome. RNAcentral describes it as "bacterial LSU rRNA". It matches the Rfam family "Bacterial large subunit ribosomal RNA", at positions 1564 to 2817 of the family's 2925-position model. The record is from RNAcentral.